GACGAACGCUGGCGGCGUGCUUAACACAUGCAAGUCGAACGGAAAGGCCUGCUUUCCCUUGUGGAUUGCGGGUACUCGAGUGGCGAACGGGUGAGUAACACGUGAGUGAUCUGCCCCCAACUUGGGUAUAAGCCUGGGAAACUGGGUCUAAUUCCCGAUAGGACUGCAGGGUGGUGCCUGUGGUGGAAAACGAUUUUCUAGUGGUUGGGGAUGAGCUCGCGGCCUAUCAGCUUGUUGGUGGGGUAAUGGCCUACCAAGGCGGCGACGGGUAGCCGGCCUGAGAGGGUGGACGGCCACAUUGGGACUGAGAUACGGCCCAGACUCCUACGGGAGGCAGCAGUGGGGAAUAUUGCACAAUGGGCGGAAGCCUGAUGCAGCGACGCCGCGUGGGGGAUGACGGCCUUCGGGCUGUAAACUCCUUUCGACCGCGAGGAAGCCACCUGGUUGGAAGGGUGGUGACGGUAGUGGUAGAAGAAGCACCGGCUAACUACGUG
Molecule: ribosomal RNA, 494 nt
Filed under: uncultured bacterium
Lineage: Bacteria
Description: partial 16S ribosomal RNA
Rfam family: Bacterial small subunit ribosomal RNA
Source: RNAcentral